Molecule: ribosomal RNA, 253 nt
Filed under: uncultured bacterium
Lineage: Bacteria
Description: partial 16S ribosomal RNA
Rfam family: Bacterial small subunit ribosomal RNA
Source: RNAcentral
UACGGAGGGGGCUAGCGUUGUUCGGAAUUACUGGGCGUAAAGGGCGCGUAGGCGGAUAUUUAAGUUGGGGGUGAAAUCCCGGGGCUCAACCUCGGAACUGCCUUCGAUACUGCGGGUCUCGAGUCCGGGAGAGGUGAGUGGAAUUCCUAGUGUAGAGGUGAAAUUCGUAGAUAUUAGGAAGAACACCAGUGGCGAAGGCGGCUCACUGGCCCGGUACUGACGCUGAGGCGCGAAAGCGUGGGGAGCAAACAGG